This 291-nucleotide unclassified non-coding RNA is filed under the name Isodon taliensis. RNAcentral's name for it is "partial external transcribed spacer". Lineage: Eukaryota; Viridiplantae; Streptophyta; Magnoliopsida; Lamiales; Lamiaceae. The record is from RNAcentral.
AUACCUAUGGAGAGGGCAUUUUGUCGGCUGAAACAGUCCCAUCUCCGUCCUGCGUCGCCGCUCCAUGCGGACAGUCGAUGCGGGGUGGAUCUCAAGGCUCGCGUCGUGUCUYGCACCGCAUCCACCGAUUUUCGGUGUUUGGGCAGGCGAACCACAUCGCGUCGCCCGUCGCCUAGGGUAYGGAACAUCACGUGGGUACGCGGCCUCGGCCGCCGAUCGCCACAACGAUGCAUUCUACGCUUUUUGCGAACGACGGUCGGCUCGGUCUCCGCCCAUGCACUCGUGCAUCGG